CCCUACGGGGUGCAGCAGGCAAUAAAAAUGCAGGCUUCUCAUAAGCCCAACGGUAGGCUGAUUUUUUUGGAUGCAGGGAAUGGAUAAAUACUCCGUAGGGGGGUAUUUUUUUUAUUGACUCUUAAACAUAAUGAUGUUAUUGUAUAAAUACAAUAAACAUAAUAAUGAAAGUGAGCAAUUGUAUAUGAUGGACUUAAGUAACCUUACAAAGAUGAUCGAUAUCAGCAGCGUGCGCGCGGAUGUAACGCUGGAGGAACUGGACCGGCUGGCGGAAGCGGCCCGGAAAUAUAAAUUUUACGCUGCUUUUACGAUGCCAUGCUUUACCUCGCUUUUGAUAGAGAAACUGAAAGGGAGCGAGACGCUGGCGGGAGGGC
This 374-nucleotide ribosomal RNA is filed under the name uncultured prokaryote. Its description in RNAcentral is "partial 16S ribosomal RNA". The record is from RNAcentral.